GAAAAAUUAGCGGAUGACUUGUGGCUGGGGGUGAAAGGCCAAUCAAACCGGGAGAUAGCUGGUUCUCCCCGAAAGCUAUUUAGGUAGCGCCUCGUGAAUUCAUCUCCGGGGGUAGAGCACUGUUUCGGCAAGGGGGUCAUCCCGACUUACCAACCCGAUGCAAACUGCGAAUACCGGAGAAUGUUAUCACGGGAGACACACGGCGGGUGCUAACGUCCGUCGUGAAGAGGGAAACAACCCAGACCGCCAGCUAAGGUCCCAAAGUCAUGGUUAAGUGGGAAACGAUGUGGGAAGGCCCAGACAGCCAGGAUGUUGGCUUAGAAGCAGCCAUCAUUUAAAGAAAGCGUAAUAGCUCACUGGUCGAGUCGGCCUGCGCGGAAGAUGUAACGGGGCUAAACCAUGCACCGAAGCUGCGGCAGCGACGCUUAUGCGUUGUUGGGUAGGGGAGCGUUCUGUAAGCCUGUGAAGGUGUGCUGUGAGGCAUGCUGGAGGUAUCAGAAGUGCGAAUGCUGACAUAAGUAACGAUAAAGCGGGUGAAAAGCCCGCUCGCCGGAAGACCAAGGGUUCCUGUCCAACGUUAAUCGGGGCAGGGUGAGUCGACCCCUAAGGCGAGGCCGAAAGGCGUAGUCGAUGGGAAACAGGUUAAUAUUCCUGUACUUGGUGUUACUGCGAAGGGGGGACGGAGAAGGCUAUGUUGGCCGGGCGACGGUUGUCCCGGUUUAAGCGUGUAGGCUGGU
This 737-nucleotide ribosomal RNA is filed under the name Escherichia coli. RNAcentral describes it as "partial 23S ribosomal RNA". It matches the Rfam family "Bacterial large subunit ribosomal RNA", at positions 791 to 1529 of the family's 2925-position model. The record is from RNAcentral. Lineage: Bacteria; Pseudomonadati; Pseudomonadota; Gammaproteobacteria; Enterobacterales; Enterobacteriaceae.